CAAUAGCGUAUAUUAAAGUUGUUGCGGUUAAAAAGCUCGUAGUUGGAUCUGCGGCCGAGGAGGGCGGUCCCCCGUUGGGUGGCUACUGCCUUUCCUGGCCUAACUCUCUGGUUUUCCUCUGGUGCUCUUGACUGAGUGCCUCUGGUGGCCAGAACGUUUACUUUGAAAAAAUUAGAGUGCUCAAAGCAGGCAUACUGCCUGAAUAGUGGUGCAUGGAAUAAUGAAAUAGGAUAUUGGUUCUGUUUUAUUGGUUCGGAGCUAAUAUAAUGAUUGAAGGGGACAGACGGGGGCAUUCGUAUUGCGACGUUAGAGGUGAAAUUCUUGGAUCGUCGCAAGACGGACUACUG
Molecule: ribosomal RNA, 347 nt
Filed under: Nematoda environmental sample
Lineage: Eukaryota; Metazoa; Nematoda
Description: SSU rRNA
Rfam family: Eukaryotic small subunit ribosomal RNA
Source: RNAcentral